GAGAGAGACAUGCGCGCAUAUCAAUAAGCGGAGGAAAAGAAACUAACAAGGAUUCCCUUAGUAACGGCGAGUGAAGCGGGAAGAGCUCGAAUUUGAAAUCUUCAAGGUUCUACCUUGACGAAUUGUAGUUUAUAGAAGUGUUUUCUGUUAGUGGAGUGGCAAAAGUUCUUUGGAAUAGGACAUCAUAGAGGGUGAGAAUCCCGUAUUUGGUCAUUCCUCCUAGCGUUGUGAUACACUUUCAACGAGUCGGAUUGUUUGGGAAUGCAGUCCAAAAUGGGUGGUAAAUUUCAUCUAAAGCUAAAUAUUGGCGAGAGACCGAUAGCGAACAAGUACCGUGAGGGAAAGAUGAAAAGAACUUUGAAAAGAGAGUUAAACAGUACGUGAAAUUGUCAAAAGGGAAGCGUUUGACACCAGUGUUGUUUUUCCGAAAAUCAAUUACGAAUGUUUUAUUUUUGAGGAGUUAUGACUUCAUCGGCUUGCUUCUCUCUUUACGAAACUUUCUUAAUGCACUUUUCGGUUAACAAGUCAACAUCAAUUUCUUUUGUUGUAAAAGGGUAUGAGGAAGGUGGCUUUCUUUUCGGAGAAAGUGUUUAUAGCCUUGUACCUCUGCAAUCGGAGAGAUUGAGGUCUGCAGCGUAGAUCCUUCGGGGUUAGAUACAUUUGUGCUAAGUUAUAGCUUUCAUAGACAACUUGUUGACUAUGAUUAAGUCAUUGUAGCUUACUCGCUUAUGCUAUUUUACCUACGCUUAGGAUGUUGAUAGUCACAGCGUGUAC
RNAcentral lists this ribosomal RNA (774 nucleotides) under uncultured Neocallimastigales. RNAcentral describes it as "partial large subunit ribosomal RNA". It matches the Rfam family "Eukaryotic large subunit ribosomal RNA", at positions 23 to 644 of the family's 3401-position model. The record is from RNAcentral. Lineage: Eukaryota; Fungi; Neocallimastigomycota; Neocallimastigomycetes; Neocallimastigales.